AAGACCUUGCGCUUUUGGAGCGGCCGAUGUCUGAUUAGCUAGUUGGUGGGGUAAUGGCCUACCAAAGCUUCGAUCAGUAGCUGGUCUGAGAGGACGGCCAGCCACACUGGGACUGAGACACGGCCCAGACUCCUACAGGAGGCAGCAGUGGGGAAUUUUGGACAAUGGGCGCAAGCCUGAUCCAGCCAUGCCGCGUGAGUGAAGAAGGCCUUCGGGUUGUAAAGCUCUUUCAGCCGGGAAGAAAAGGCUGCGACUAAUAAUCGCAGUUCAUGACGGUACCGGAAGAAGAAGCGCCGGCUAACUACGCGCCAGCAGCCGCGGUAAUACGUAGGGUGCGAGCGUUAAUCGGAAUUACUGGGCGUAAAGGGUGCGCAGGCGGUUUUGUAAGUCAGAUGUGAAAUCCCCGGGCUUAACCUGGGAACU
RNAcentral lists this ribosomal RNA (423 nucleotides) under uncultured bacterium. RNAcentral describes it as "bacterial SSU rRNA". It matches the Rfam family "Bacterial small subunit ribosomal RNA", at positions 207 to 622 of the family's 1533-position model. The record is from RNAcentral.